AUGAAGUGGAUGAUGAAGGGUGAAUAUGACCUUAAGUGCGUGCGAGCGUCAGAUCAGCGUGUUCAUGGUCCAUGGGUCUUACAAGACAUUAACUAUGAAUUCUUCCGUUCUCAACUUCCAGAAGUCAAGAAGAAAGCAAUAGUCCAAGAAAAAACUGACUGGGACUCCGACAAUGACGGUGCAGACAACAUCGUAGACAUGGCUGAAGAGCGUCGUCAUGGAUGUGAUGUACUUGGAUUUCACCCAUUCAAAGAGAUUAUGUUCUUGAGCAGCUUCACCAAAGAAACAUGGGAUGCUACGGUACACGCCUACCAUUUGAAUAGCUCGAGGGUUGAAUGCUUAGGCAACAUGCGCCCAGCCUGUUAUAAUCUUUUUGAAGGCUUCAGAUCUACCGAACAAAAUUAUGAAUAUUUUCCGUACACGCCAUGUUGGGUAGGCGAGUUCCAUAGCAACAACAAAUGUAAUUUAUAA
RNAcentral lists this ribosomal RNA (471 nucleotides) under Triticum aestivum (bread wheat). Its description in RNAcentral is "partial small subunit ribosomal RNA". Lineage: Eukaryota; Viridiplantae; Streptophyta; Magnoliopsida; Poales; Poaceae. The record is from RNAcentral.